CAGAGAAGCCCUCUUAGGCCAGUCUUUUAUUUUGAUUUUUAUCUUUUUUUUUUUUGCUGCAGAAUCUCUUCUUUAUUUUUGGGAUGUUCUAAAAGAAGAGCCUGUGGAGAAUCUCAGUUCGACGUGAUUUGUUCAGCAGGAGACCCCAGGAACAAUGGAACCUUGAAACACCCAGAAAGACAGAUGAGAAGAUUCUAUGUGCUAAUCUCAUUUCCAAAUGUAAUUGGUGUCUGAAUUAUGAAGCUCUCUGCUUCUAAAGGCUAUGUGAACAGAGACAUCCAUCCUCCUCUCCAUCGAAGUGGGCCCGGGCGUCACUGUGAUCCAUGCUCAUGGUUCCAGCAAGGGAGAAGAAGGAAAUCAGAAUGAAGUGUAGAAGUACAGAAAAGGUAACUGUAUGUGACACACAGCCUUCUGUACCAAGAGACUCUGGCUGGUAACAUGCA
Perognathus longimembris pacificus (Pacific pocket mouse) is the source of this 443-nucleotide long non-coding RNA. RefSeq lists it as uncharacterized. The record is from RefSeq and is a predicted model, not a curated record. The transcript has 3 exons. NCBI's taxonomy places the organism in Eukaryota, Metazoa, Chordata, Mammalia, Rodentia, Heteromyidae.